GUACUGUUGAGGAGUCCCACAAUAGGAUGAAACGUCUGUCCAGUAC
Molecule: non-coding RNA, 46 nt
Organism: Schistosoma curassoni
Lineage: Eukaryota; Metazoa; Platyhelminthes; Trematoda; Strigeidida; Schistosomatidae
Source: Rfam